CGGCACGUAGCGCAGCCUGGUAGCGCGCCGUCAUGGGGUGUCGGGGGUCGGAGGUUCAAAUCCUCUCGUGCCGACCA
This 77-nucleotide transfer RNA is filed under the name Klebsiella oxytoca. Its description in RNAcentral is "tRNA-Pro". It matches the Rfam family "tRNA". Rfam says of the family: Transfer RNA (tRNA) molecules are approximately 80 nucleotides in length. Lineage: Bacteria; Pseudomonadati; Pseudomonadota; Gammaproteobacteria; Enterobacterales; Enterobacteriaceae. The record is from RNAcentral.